RNAcentral lists this ribosomal RNA (497 nucleotides) under uncultured bacterium. RNAcentral describes it as "partial 16S ribosomal RNA". It matches the Rfam family "Bacterial small subunit ribosomal RNA", at positions 28 to 507 of the family's 1533-position model. The record is from RNAcentral.
GAUGAACGCUGGCGGCGUGCCUAAUACAUGCAAGUCGAGCGAACAGACGAGGAGCUUGCUCCUCUGACGUUAGCGGCGGACGGGUGAGUAACACGUGGAUAACCUACCUAUAAGACUGGGAUAACUUCGGGAAACCGGAGCUAAUACCGGAUAAUAUAUUGAACCGCAUGGUUCAAUAGUGAAAGACGGUUUUGCUGUCACUUAUAGAUGGAUCCGCGCCGCAUUAGCUAGUUGGUAAGGUAACGGCUUACCAAGGCAACGAUGCGUAGCCGACCUGAGAGGGUGAUCGGCCACACUGGAACUGAGACACGGUCCAGACUCCUACGGGAGGCAGCAGUAGGGAAUCUUCAGCAAUGGGCGAAAGCCUGACGGAGCAACGCCGCGUGAGUGAUGAAGGUCUUCGGAUCGUAAAACUCUGUUAUUAGGGAAGAACAAAUGUGUAAGUAACUAUGCACGUCUUGACGGUACCUAAUCAGAAAGCCACGGCUAACUACGUG